This 253-nucleotide ribosomal RNA is filed under the name uncultured bacterium. RNAcentral describes it as "partial 16S ribosomal RNA". It matches the Rfam family "Bacterial small subunit ribosomal RNA", at positions 524 to 776 of the family's 1533-position model. The record is from RNAcentral.
UACGUAGGGUGCGAGCGUUAAUCGGAAUUACUGGGCGUAAAGCGUGUGCAGGCGGUGAUGUAAGACAGGUGUGAAAUCCCCGGGCUUAACCUGGGAACUGCAUUUGUGACUGCAUUGCUGGAGUGCGGCAGAGGGGGAUGGAAUUCCGCGUGUAGCAGUGAAAUGCGUAGAUAUGCGGAGGAACACCGAUGGCGAAGGCAAUCCCCUGGGCCUGCACUGACGCUCAUGCACGAAAGCGUGGGGAGCAAACAGG